Molecule: ribosomal RNA, 468 nt
Filed under: uncultured bacterium
Lineage: Bacteria
Description: partial 16S ribosomal RNA
Rfam family: Bacterial small subunit ribosomal RNA
Source: RNAcentral
GACGAACGCUGGCGGCGUGCUUAACACAUGCAAGUCGAACGGAAAGGCCCUGCUUUUGUGGGGUGCUCGAGUGGCGAACGGGUGAGUAACACGUGAGUAACCUGCCCUUGACUUUGGGAUAACUUCAGGAAACUGGGGCUAAUACCGGAUAGGAGCUCCUGCUGCAUGGUGGGGGUUGGAAAGUUUCGGCGGUUGGGGAUGGACUCGCGGCUUAUCAGCUUGUUGGUGGGGGAGUGGCUUACCAAGGCUUUGACGGGUAGCCGGCCUGAGAGGGUGACCGGCCACAUUGGGACUAAGGUACGGACCAGACUGCUACGGGAGGCAGCAGUGGGGAAUAUUACACAAUGGGCGGACGUCUGAUGCAGCAGCGCCGCGUGCGGGAUGACGGCCUUCGGGUUGUAAACCGCUUUCGCCUGUGACGAAGCGUGAGUGACGGUAAUGGGUAAAGAAGCACCGGCUAACUACGUG